CUAGGAUAGGUGACCUCCCGA
Molecule: non-coding RNA, 21 nt
Filed under: Arabidopsis thaliana (thale cress)
Lineage: Eukaryota; Viridiplantae; Streptophyta; Magnoliopsida; Brassicales; Brassicaceae
Source: RNAcentral